GAGCACCUUCUAGCAGAGCGCCUCGGCGCUGUCUUUGGUCGGCACUUUCUAACCGAGCAGCUUAUUUUGGUUGGGCACCUCUUGGCGCGCACUCUGGUCGGCGCCUUCUAGUCGAGCGCCUUCCUGGUCGGCGCUCUCUGGUCUCGGCCUUCUGGCCUCGGCUCUCUGGCCUCGGCUCUCUGUGCUCGGCCUUCUGUGCUUGGCCUGCUGUGCUCGGCCUGCUGUGCUCGGCCCGCUGUGCUCGGCCUAUGAGCUCGAUCACUUGGACGAGCUCGAGAGCGGAAGAGCUCCAUCACUUGGAUGAGCUCGAGAGCGGAAGAGCUCCAUCACUUAGGAUGAGCUCGAGAGCGGAAGAGCCCGAUCACUUAGGAUGAGCUCGAGAGCGGAAGAGCUCCAUCACUUGGGAUGAGCUCGAG
This 416-nucleotide long non-coding RNA is filed under the name Phoenix dactylifera (date palm). Its description in RNAcentral is "long non-coding RNA (PDAC_LNC000658)". Lineage: Eukaryota; Viridiplantae; Streptophyta; Magnoliopsida; Arecales; Arecaceae. The record is from RNAcentral.